GGCGAAUUAGUAUAGUGGUCAGUAUCCCUGCCUGUCACGCAGGAGACCGGGGUUCAAUUCCCCGAUUCGUCG
RNAcentral lists this transfer RNA (72 nucleotides) under Paramecium bursaria Chlorella virus MA1E. Its description in RNAcentral is "tRNA-Asp". It matches the Rfam family "tRNA". Rfam says of the family: Transfer RNA (tRNA) molecules are approximately 80 nucleotides in length. RNAcentral also lists the same sequence under 3 other names. Lineage: Varidnaviria; Bamfordvirae; Nucleocytoviricota; Megaviricetes; Algavirales; Phycodnaviridae. The record is from RNAcentral.